Globicephala melas (long-finned pilot whale) is the source of this 3042-nucleotide long non-coding RNA. RefSeq lists it as uncharacterized. Lineage: Eukaryota; Metazoa; Chordata; Mammalia; Artiodactyla; Delphinidae. The record is from RefSeq and is a predicted model, not a curated record.
UCUCCCGGUCUCGCGUCGUUACCCCUGCGUGAAGCGAUAAGUCGCGCGCGGGUCGGCGAUUCACUCUGGGGGUCUCCGCCGCUGAGCCCUCCUGAAAGACUGACUGGCGGAAACUGGGACUGGAGUGUGAGCAUCUGAGGGGCUCUCCAGUGGGGCUUGGAGAGGAAUGUCUCAAAUGACUUUUCUUGAAAGCUGAGGGUGGCAUCUUCUGAUCAAUCAUGUCAUCAAUUGCUAGAAAUAUGAGAACUCUCCAGAAGAUCAAGUACCGUGUAGUAGUUACCAUGCACAGGCCCCAUAGAGCCCUGGCCUUGGAGAAUGCCCUAUUCACCAACCCAAAAGAAGGUCCCAUGUGACAAAGUUUGGAUUAGACAUUACAAAUGGCUUCCAAUGGACUACUUGCCAGACUUUGUCAUGGGAACCAUCUGACGAGCAGAACAAAGUGCAAGUGCAUAAGCAACUUCCAAUGAGAACCUCUGUAUGGGCUUGGCCCAGGUAUCUUGAAACCCUGGGAAGACCUAAAUAUAAACAAAAUUUUGCAAAGAAGAAGGGAAUCAUGAACAAAUCACCUUUCUAUAAGACACCAUAAACGAUGACUGGAGAUCUGAAUUGGAAAUGUAUCUCUGUCAGGAAUCUUCCUCUGACUACAAGCUUCAAGGACAGGAACAUCAACCUUCUCUCUAUCCUCUCCUUCCUAUUCUGCAAGAGGAGACAGUACUCUAAUUGCAGGCAGAGAUCCACAUUUACGGCCACUGCAGCCUUGUGACCCAAGGCUCUGGAAUGGAUCAGCCCUCCUACUCACUCCCUCCUGCACACACCGUGUCUCCAUGGAAACAGCUUGUCAGGCCCUGUUUGGCUGCAGGUUCUGAAGACCUCUCAUCUGCAGCCCCAGUCCUGCACAGAUUCAGUCUUAAUAAGCCAGGCUUCUAAGGAGGAACUUGUACUAGGAGGCCCAUCCUCUCUAGCUGGUGGGGUCUGGAAUUGUCCUUAAGUCUCCUUUGGGGUAUACGUGGGGAGUCCUGAAUGCCACUGAGUUGCCCUGACCUUCCAACACUGAUAUUCAGGUCAAUGGCAGGGUUUCCAUCCUGGGUUUCUGCUUCAGCCUGAACUCAUCAUCUCCUUCUAGCAAGCCUUCUGCUCCCAUCAUCUCUCCCCACCCACCAAAGGUGAAAGUCAUUUUGAGCUCUACAGGCCUCACCUGUGGCUAAUCACCAAGAGUCUUCUGUUGUCGGGCAUCAUUCAUCCAUCAGAUUGGAUCAGGCAUUUGCUACACUGCCAGGACACUGCGACUUGGACUGCUGGCCACUGUCCUUGGGGGUACAUCUACAAAUGGGUCAGUUGCCCCAGUUCACUCUGGCUAGUUCUGGUUGCCUCUUUUUUGUUAGUCACUGGGGAGGUCCCUGCCGGCCUCAUGGCUGAACCCUUGUGGCCUCAGUCAGCAGCUGGAGAGCCAUUCCUAAGAGCUGAGAUAGUGACUCAGCCCUUCUCUCAUUACCGAGGGAAGAUUCCUUUCUCACUGGUUAUGCAAUGUCACCCAGGCUAUGUUUUCAUUAGUGGAGUCCAAAAUUUGGAAUCGUGGUAAGAGGAGAAAAUGGCAGUUAAUCUCAGGAAUAGAUAAGAUCUGUCAUGUUUCUGCAGGAGAGAUUUUCUUUUUUUCUCUUUUUGUUUUUGGUGGGUCAUGGGUGGGUGAAGGAAGUGGUAAGGAACCUGUGUUCAUAUAUAAAGAAAUAAAUCAAAGGAGGAGUUGGAUGUAUACGAUGCUUUUGCUCGGAGAGUUCAAUGGAUUAUCUGGGAAAGAAGCCAGAAAAAGAGAGACUUCUCAUCAGAGGUAGGUGCCCACCCAUGUAUGUAAAAGAGCAUUUAGACCUCAGCCCUGUUCCAUUCAUUUUUUCCUAAAUCAACACAUCUCUCAUCUCCCAGAAAUGAGAAACCAGUCAACUUUUUGCUGUGGACCUGGAUGAAAUGAAAAAAAAGAAUGGAUUUUGCUUCAAACUGGGUUCCCUUGCUUGCAAUGUAAGGCUUACACAGAAGAGUAAGGACACUAGGAAGAGGAAGUAGCAAAGCAAAGGCACAAUCUCACCUUCUCCCCUGCAGUAAGAAAGUAAAAGAUCCAUUAGAUGAGAAAAUGUAUGUGAAAGCACUUAGCACAGUGCUUGGCGAAUGGAUGGGAUUCAAUAAUAUUGACUCUUUGUUUUAUCUAUGCUCAGUGUAGAGACUCAUAAGGCAGAUUAUGUGUAGGGAGAAUAUAGGGGGAACCAGUGGGAGUGAGGGAGUAUGCUCUACCUCGAUGAUAGUUAAAAUUUUGCUGUUAGAGUUUCUUUCCUUUGACUGUAUCAAAAAACAAACACCAACUAGAGGCAAAAGACAUUGUCUUCAGACAUUUCUAUUUCUAUUUUACUAUUAAUGGUUCGUUAUAUUCUUUCUCUCUUGUCUGUCUGUCUCUUUUUUUUUUUCAGGCAGUAAUGGAGAGAACUUAAAGGCAUUAAACAUCAUAGAUGAGGGUGGAAGUACACGUUUUCUGUUUCUUUAAGCUAGACAAAAACCUAACAGUCUGAAUUGGAAUACUAUCACUCAUAACUUCUACUAUAUAAAUAAAUAAUUUUAACAAGUAUAACGUCCUAGUAGACAUGAGACAGUUAAUGUAGAGACCAAGGAACAACUGGGUCAUUUGCCUCAGUACUGAGGUAGUUUCUUAAUUGGACGUGUUAAGAGUGGUAGAAGAUCUCAUCUGUUGACAACUUAGAAAGUUGCAGUUGAGGAGGCAAAAGGAAAACAGAAAUCAUAAGCACUUUUACACAUAUGAAGUUGUUAAUAGGCAGCUUCUAACUCUAUGUAUGUUCGUAUUACUAAAACCUAGAACAGCACUCAGAGUACUUGUAAGUGCUCAACAACUGUUUAACCAAAACGAAACUAAAAGAAAAACAAAAUGAAACAAACAAAACUGGUACUUGUUAACAUCAGUCAGCUAUGUCCCACUCUAGGUUCUUAAUACUAUCAGAUUAAUAAAAACUCUGAAACCAAAGUAACCAUGUCCUGUGAUUGUAU